UAGCAUAUCAAUAAGCGGAGGAAAAGAAACCAACAGGGAUUGCCUUAGUAACGGCGAGUGAAGCGGCAACAGCUCAAAUUUGAAAGCUGGCUCCUUCGGAGUCCGCGUUGUAAUUUGUAGAGGAUGAUUCGGCGAGGGCUCCCGCCUAAGUCCCCUGGAACGGGGCGUCAUAGAGGGUGAGAAUCCCGUAUGCGGUGGGUUGCCUUAGCCAUGUGAAUCUCCUUCGACGAGUCGAGUUGUUUGGGAAUGCAGCUCUAAAUGGGAGGUAAAUUUCUUCUAAAGCUAAAUACCGGCCAGAGACCGAUAGCGCACAAGUAGAGUGAUCGAAAGAUGAAAAGCACUUUGGAAAGAGAGUUAAAAAGUACGUGAAAUUGUUGAAAGGGAAGCGCUUGCAGCCAGACUUGUCCGCAGUUGCUCAACCGGUCUCCUGACCGGUGUACUCUUCUGCGGCCAGGCCAGCAUCAGUUCGGGCGGUCGGAUAAAGGCCCUGGGAAUGUAGCUCCUCUCGGGGAGUGUUAUAGCCCAGGGUGGAAUGCGGCCAGCCUGGACUGAGGAUCUCGCUUCGGCUAGGAUGCUGGCGUAAUGGCUGUAAGCGGCCCGUCUUGAAACACGGACCAAGGAGUCUAACAUCUAUGCGAGUGUUUGGGUGUCAAACCCAUGCGCGUAAUGAAAGUGAACGGAGGUGGGAACCCUCACGGGUGCACCAUCGACCGAUCCUGAUGUCUUCGGAUGGAUUUGAGUAAGAGCAUAGCUGUUGGGACCCGAAAGAUGGUGAACUAUGCCUGAAUAGGGUGAAGCCAGAGGAAACUCUGGUGGAGGCUCGCAGCGGUUCUGACGUGCAAAUCGAUCGUCAAAUUUGGGUAUAGGGGCGAAAGACUAAUCGAACCAUCUAGUAGCUGGUUCCUGCCGAAU
This 912-nucleotide ribosomal RNA is filed under the name Macrophomina phaseolina. Its description in RNAcentral is "LSU rRNA". It matches the Rfam family "Eukaryotic large subunit ribosomal RNA", at positions 36 to 966 of the family's 3401-position model. Lineage: Eukaryota; Fungi; Ascomycota; Dothideomycetes; Botryosphaeriales; Botryosphaeriaceae. The record is from RNAcentral.